This 267-nucleotide ribosomal RNA is filed under the name Triticum aestivum (bread wheat). RNAcentral describes it as "partial small subunit ribosomal RNA". The record is from RNAcentral. Lineage: Eukaryota; Viridiplantae; Streptophyta; Magnoliopsida; Poales; Poaceae.
GUGCUUGUGGAGACAAACAAGCAUGAACAAUAUCAUAUUGUUUACAAGCUUCUUAAUUUGGUAUUGAUUCUGCCAGUAGCUACUGCUAGUGUUGAAAGGGUAUUCUCUUCAAUGAGCCAUGUGAAGAAUAAGCUAAGGAGCAAAAUGGGUGAUGAAUAUUUGAACAAUUGUUUGGUUACAUUUGUUGAGAGAGAACUUUUCAAUCAAGUGAAGGAUGAAGAUGUCAUCAAUCUCUUCCAAAAAGGCGACCGCAAAGUUAUAUUGUAA